UACGGAGGGUGCAAGCGUUGUUCGGAAUCACUGGGCGUAAAGGGCGUGUCGGCGGUCCGCUAAGUCUGAUGUGAAAGCCCGGGGCUCACCCCCGGAAGGGCAUUGGAAACUGGCGGACUCGAGUCCCGGAGAGGAAGGUGGAAUUCCUGGUGUAGCGGUGAAAUGCGUAGAUAUCAGGAGGAAUACCGGUGGCGAAGGCGGCCUUCUGGACGGCGACUGACGCUGAGACGCGAAAGCGUGGGGAGCAAACAGG
Molecule: ribosomal RNA, 253 nt
Filed under: uncultured bacterium
Lineage: Bacteria
Description: partial 16S ribosomal RNA
Rfam family: Bacterial small subunit ribosomal RNA
Source: RNAcentral